Molecule: ribosomal RNA, 648 nt
Filed under: Triticum aestivum (bread wheat)
Lineage: Eukaryota; Viridiplantae; Streptophyta; Magnoliopsida; Poales; Poaceae
Description: partial small subunit ribosomal RNA
Source: RNAcentral
AUGGAAACCUGGUUUGUUAUUUCUGCACCAGGUCUGGUUAUCUUGGAACUAGACGACUGUGUGGGUUGGACUCCGUUGCUUGAGAGUCUGCCAUCAUUGGUAACGGCAUUUAUCAACGCUGGACCCUACUGCAGAGAUAAUUGUAGAAAUAGUUCUAACGGGGACUGUGGUCUUGAGUCAUGUGUGGAGUGCUAUGGUAUAGAUGAUUGUGUGCUUCUCCAAGGUUUAUCAGGCGCUACGAAUUUAGAGCUGAUAACCCAAAAGUCUAUGAUCUUCAGAAAUGAUAUAAAAUGGUCCCCUAUGUUUAGCAAGGUAAAAACAUUGUUGCUCGGUGACUGGUGUAUGGCUGCUAACUUCUGUGGACUAGUUUACUUUCUCCAGCACUCACCAAUUCUACAGAGGCUUACGCUUGAACUUGCUAGUCGCUCUGAGGAAUUUCACAUUGAAACGAGUGAAAUCUACAAGCCAACGGAACAAUUUUUGGUGUCAAAACAUCUCAAGUCAGUCAAAAUCAAUCAUGUGAAAGACGAUAAAAGGAUUCACCAAUUAUUGACGGUCCUUGCUUAUCAUGGAGUACAUUUGGAACUAAUAAACAUUGAGGAGAAGGAGGACGCUUGUGAACGCUUAAGUUUUCAGAACAAGCAGUAG